This 16-nucleotide ribosomal RNA is filed under the name Stemphylium globuliferum. RNAcentral's name for it is "partial 18S ribosomal RNA". The record is from RNAcentral. Lineage: Eukaryota; Fungi; Ascomycota; Dothideomycetes; Pleosporales; Pleosporaceae.
CUGCGGAGGGAUAUAC